Molecule: long non-coding RNA, 1395 nt
Organism: Helicoverpa armigera (cotton bollworm)
Lineage: Eukaryota; Metazoa; Arthropoda; Insecta; Lepidoptera; Noctuidae
Exons: 2
Source: RefSeq, a predicted model, not a curated record
GAUUGAUUUUACUCUGGAGACGUUUCAUUUUAACAAAGUUACUCACAGAAUUCUAAAGCUACAUCAUUUGCAUGUUAUAUGGAAGGUCCGAAUAUGAAUGAGACCCGUCACGGCCGUCAACCAACGGACAAAGCUCCAAGAUUAGCACCAUGAAUGGCCAAGGUCCCUACCUACCAUAACAAAUAAUGUUUUACUCAAUAACCGGUCCUUUCUGGUUCACAAAAUAGAUCUGUGGGUACAAAAUGAUCCGUGAGAAAAUAUUUGAUAUAGGUACCAUCGUUGCAGAUUUUGAUUCAAUAGAUAUGUAGGUACCUACUAAGGGCCAAUCAUAUUGAAAAUAUUGUCAUCAUCGUCACCUGACUGCAUACAAUAAUAAACGGUCUCCUGAUUUCCAUACAAUAUCUCGUAAUCAAGAUUGUGGGAAAAAAUUGAGCAGAGACUGAAGCUGACUCUUCUAGGUCAUGAUAGAAUGUAUGUAUGUAGAUGACAUCCAGUGGUAUCCAGUGAAUUGAAGUUGAGAACAAAUUCAGAUGCGAAUGCGCCCAAAAAAUAAAUGAGAUGCUUAGGUAUUCAGAUUUUGUUGUGAACAAUUGCUAAUUCAUAUUGCAAUAGUGACGAAGCCUGCGGUUUUGGAUAUGCAUGAUACAAUAAUAAAAUUAAAGUCGACAUUUCUUUGUUCAAGAAGAUUCGUCACCAUGGUUUGUGGCCCAGCACCUACGGGAAGCGUGUCAACGAAUCCCUUAUUAUUAUGUAAUCGCAUGGAAAGAAUCCUAUCUAUUUAGAAACAGGUACUUUACAGUUAAUAAAAAUACUGUAAACUAAAACAACGUCCUGUAAACAAUGUUUACGAUAGAACUUUCGUUAUCGGGCUCCAUGCGGGUGCCGUUAACGCGAAUGUCAGCUGACCCUAUAUCAGCACCACGCACUGAGCUACGUUAGUGUCAACCUGCACCUGACCACAAUGUGUCGCCUCACUGCCUUUGUUUUGUUCCUUGCGCUUUCGUACGCGACUUGCAGCAUUAUCACUGACCGAGGCACGAAGGAUAUCCUCCUGCCUGAUGCAGAAAUAGAAGACAACAGCAUCGUCGUACCUGAAGUCCUGCCUAUCGAAGGAAUAGCACAAUUCAGUGCGCCAGACAACGCGAAGUGCGCCAAAGUUGGCGAAUUCUGCAUCAACCAUAAGGACUGUUGCAGUAACUCCUGUUUGACCUUCAUGAGGAGAUGUGUUUCAUAGUUUGAUCAAAUCCCGAUCCUGUGAGCUAAAAAUAUUUGCUUUGAAUCAGCCAUGGCCGGCAUUUUGUAACCCUUGAAGGAAGUGGAUGAUUCAGGUCAACAAAUAUUUAUCAUUGUAAAUUGACUAAUCAUCAGUUAUGUAUUAAAGUUUAUUUAUAUCAA